Non-coding RNA from Marasmius oreades (fairy-ring Marasmius), 97 nucleotides. NCBI's taxonomy places the organism in Eukaryota, Fungi, Basidiomycota, Agaricomycetes, Agaricales, Marasmiaceae. The record is from the annotation of a RefSeq genome assembly.
GGGCACAUGGUGUAGUUGGUUAUCACAUCCGCUUAGCAUGCAUCGCUGAUGUCGUGUAUGAUGCGGGGGGUGCUGGGUUCAAUUCCCAGUGUGUCCA